AUAAAAUAAUUAUGUUUUAAAAAAUUUAUUUUAAAUUUAUUUUACAUAUAAAUUUUAGUAUUAAAUUUUAAUUAUUUUAAUAAUAAUUAAUUAAUUAAUUUGUAGUAAUUAAAAUUAAAAAUUUAAGAAAUUAAGAUUUAGUAAUAUAUAAAUUAAUAACUAAUUUUGUGCCAGCAGUUGCGGUUAUACAAAAAUUAAAUUAAAUUAUUUCAGUAUAUAAUAAAUAAAAUUAAAUUAAUUUAAAUAUUAAAUUAUUAGGUGAAAUUUUAAUUUAAUUAAAUUUUAAAAAAUUUUAUAAUUUAAUAAAUUUAGUAAUAAACUAGGAUUAGAUACCCUAUUAUUAAAAAUUUAAUUAUAAAUACUAAAAUAGUAGAUAAAAAAUAUUGAAACUUAAAUAAUAUGGCGGUAUUUUAGUUCAUUUAGAGGAAUCUGUCUAAUAAUUGAUAAUCCACGAAUUAAUUUACUUAAUUUAAGAUUUUAUAUAUCGUUGUUAAAAAAAUAUUUUUUAGUAAAAAUAAUAUUUUAGAAUUAAAAUAAAAAAUUAACUCAGAUCAAGAUGUAGAAUAUAAUUAAGAAUAUGAUGGAUUACAAUAAAAUAAUUUAUAAUGGAUGAUUAAAUUUUAAUAUUAAUCUGAAGGUGGAUUUAAAUGUAAUUUUAAUUAGUUUAUUGAAAUGAUUAAAAAUUAAAAUAUGUACAUAUUGCCCGUCACUUUCAUUUAAAAAUUGGAAUAAGUCGUAACAAAGUAGAGGUACUGGAAAGUGUUUCUAGAAAGAA
This 775-nucleotide non-coding RNA is filed under the name Coenonympha phryne. The record is from RNAcentral. Lineage: Eukaryota; Metazoa; Arthropoda; Insecta; Lepidoptera; Nymphalidae.